AGCCGCGGUAAUUCCAGCUCCAAUAGCGUAUAUUAAAGUUGUUGCAGUUAAAAAGCUCGUAGUUGAAUUUCGGGAUUGACGUGAUGGUCAUGCCUUAAGGGGUAUGAACUGUUACUGUUGAUUUCUCACCUUCUGGAGAAACUUGAUGUCCUUUAUUGGGUGUCUUGCGGAUCCAGGACCUUUACCUUGAAAAAAUUAGAGUGUUUAAAGCAGGCAUUUUUGCUCGAAUACAUUAGCAUGGAAUAAUAGAAUAGGACGGCAUGGUUCUAUUUUGUUGGUUUCUAGGAUCACCGUAAUGAUUAAUAGGGAUAGUUGGGGGCAUUAGUAUUCAAUUGUCAGAGGUGAAAUUCUUGGAUUUAUUGAAGACUAACUACUGCGAAAGCAUUUGCCAAGGAUGUUUUCAUUAAUCAAGAACGAAAGUUAGGGGAUCGAAGACGAUCAGAUACCGUCGUAGUCUUAACCAUAAACUAUGCCGACUAGGAAUCAGACGAUGUUAAUUUUUUAAUGACUCGUUUGGCACCUUACG
This 526-nucleotide unclassified non-coding RNA is filed under the name uncultured Glomeromycotina. RNAcentral's name for it is "SSU rRNA". It matches the Rfam family "Eukaryotic small subunit ribosomal RNA", at positions 572 to 1092 of the family's 1831-position model. The record is from RNAcentral. Lineage: Eukaryota; Fungi; Glomeromycota.